UAGUCGAGUUGUUUGGGAAUGCAGCUCAAAAUGGGUGGUAAAUUCCAUCUAAAGCUAAAUAUUGGGGAGAGACCGAUAGCGAACAAGUACCGUGAGGGAAAGAUGAAAAGCACUUUGGAAAGAGAGUUAAACAGUACGUGAAAUUGUCAAAAGGGAAGCAUUUGAAGUCAGACGUGUAUUGCAGUAUUCAGCCUUGCUUUUUGCUUGGUGUAUUUGCUGUAUUACAGGCCAACAUCAGUUUUGGACAACGGAUAAGGGUAUGGAGAAUGUGGCAUCUUUGGAUGUGUUAUAGCUCUAUACUGGAUAC
This 307-nucleotide ribosomal RNA is filed under the name Exobasidium vexans. RNAcentral describes it as "LSU rRNA". It matches the Rfam family "Eukaryotic large subunit ribosomal RNA", at positions 259 to 574 of the family's 3401-position model. Lineage: Eukaryota; Fungi; Basidiomycota; Exobasidiomycetes; Exobasidiales; Exobasidiaceae. The record is from RNAcentral.